AACUUUUAACAACGGAUCUCUUGGUUCUGGCAUCGAUGAAGAACGCAGCGAAAUGUGAUAAGUAAUGUGAAUCGCAGAAUUCAGUGAAUCAUCGAAUCUUUGAACGCACAUUGCACCCCCUGGCACUCAGGGGGUAUGCCUGUCCGAGCGUCGUCAAGACCCUCAAGCUCCCCGGAGCUUGGCGUUGGGUGCGGCCCCGUCACCGGGGCCCUCCCCAAAACCAGUGGCGGCCGUGGCCCGGACCCGAGCGCAGUAGACUUCUCUCGCUCCGGGGCCCGGGCGGCGUGCCCGCCAGCAAGACAUCAGCCAUACCUAAGGUUGACCUCGGAUCAGGUAGGAGCACCCGCUGAACUUAAGCAUAUCAUAAGCGGAGGCU
Molecule: unclassified non-coding RNA, 376 nt
Filed under: uncultured Leotia
Lineage: Eukaryota; Fungi; Ascomycota; Leotiomycetes; Leotiales; Leotiaceae
Description: sequence contains ITS2
Rfam family: 5.8S ribosomal RNA (bases 1-153)
Source: RNAcentral